Molecule: ribosomal RNA, 603 nt
Filed under: uncultured bacterium
Lineage: Bacteria
Also listed under: 1 other name
Description: bacterial SSU rRNA
Rfam family: Bacterial small subunit ribosomal RNA
Source: RNAcentral
GGACCCGCACAAGCGGUGGAUGAUGUGGAUUAAUUCGAUGCAACGCGAAAAACCUUACCUACCCUUGACAUGCCAGGAACUUUCCAGAGAUGGAUUGGUGCCCGAAAGGGAGCCUGGACACAGGUGCUGCAUGGCUGUCGUCAGCUCGUGUCGUGAGAUGUUGGGUUAAGUCCCGCAACGAGCGCAACCCUUGUCAUUAAUUGCCAUCAUUCAGUUGGGCACUUUAAUGAGACUGCCGGUGACAAACCGGAGGAAGGUGGGGAUGACGUCAAGUCCUCAUGGCCCUUAUGGGUAGGGCUUCACACGUCAUACAAUGGUCGGUACAGAGGGUUGCCAAGCCGCGAGGUGGAGCCAAUCCCAGAAAGCCGAUCGUAGUCCGGAUCGCAGUCUGCAACUCGACUGCGUGAAGUCGGAAUCGCUAGUAAUCGCGGAUCAGCAUGUCGCGGUGAAUACGUUCCCGGGUCUUGUACACACCGCCCGUCACACCAUGGGAGUGGGUUCUACCAGAAGUAGUUAGCCUAACCGUAAGGAGGGCGAUUACCACGGUAGGAUUCAUGACUGGGGUGAAGUCGUAACAAGGUAGCCGUAUCGGAAGGUGCGGCU